Long non-coding RNA from Macrobrachium nipponense, 501 nucleotides. RefSeq lists it as uncharacterized. The record is from RefSeq and is a predicted model, not a curated record. The transcript has 5 exons. NCBI's taxonomy places the organism in Eukaryota, Metazoa, Arthropoda, Malacostraca, Decapoda, Palaemonidae.
CAGGCUUAAUCCUCAACAGCAAGAAGUGCUCAGAGGUGGCCGUUCAGUAGCGUCCGUACAUGCAGUUUGUGGCCAGUUAGACAAGCAGCUCGCGCUACUGUUUGCCAUUAAAACGUUUACAUGGGUGGUAAAAGGAUUCUACCUUCAGAAUGCGUGAAAUAAAAGUCUACAUUCUGCUUUUCUGGUCAAGUUUUACAGCGGUACGCAGUCAGCAGGAUGUCAGCCCCCCAAGGAUCUUAAAUGGGGAACAACUUCUUGUAAAUGGAGGACCUGCAACACUGACUUGCGAGGGAGACGAACCUCUCGUCUGGACAUACAAGUACCAGGAUUGCCAUUAUGACAUGGGAAACCAGACCCAGACGUCGAAGACAGAUGGCUCCUAUAAAUCCCAACUGACGCUAAAUAACCAAAACAGCCAGGGUCAUUACCACUGCCAUUACGAGAACACUAGCCUGAGUGACCCCGGGGCAUCAGCCAGCACCUAUGUCUACCUUUUUUGUA